UACGUAGGUGGCAAGCGUUGUCCGGAUUUACUGGGCGUAAAGCGCGCGCAGGCGGACUGAUCAGUCUGGGGUGAAAUCUCCCGGCUCAACUGGGAGCGGUCCCUGGAUACUGUCAGUCUUGAGAGACCUAGAGGAGAGCGGAAUUCCCGGUGUAGUGGUGGAAUGCGUAGAUAUCGGGAGGAACACCAAUAGCGAAGGCAGCUCGCUGGGACGGUACUGACGCUAAGGCGCGAAAGCGUGGGGAGCGAACAGG
Molecule: ribosomal RNA, 253 nt
Filed under: uncultured bacterium
Lineage: Bacteria
Description: partial 16S ribosomal RNA
Rfam family: Bacterial small subunit ribosomal RNA
Source: RNAcentral